CUCAGCAGCUGACAUAAUUUGAUUCAGAUUGCCCUCCCAUAACCCUCAUCUUAACCAUAACGUAACUUUGUAACAGUCGUCGGGAAUAUGUGUGCGUCACUGUGAAUUUGUACCUUUUCCCAUUCCUGUUAUUAGUGGAAUGGCUUAAUUUGUAAGGCCGGCCAAUUGUACAGGGGGAGGGGAGCACCUGGCUUGGAGGGCCAACAGACUGUAUGGGGAGGAGCCAACAGACUGUAUGGGGAGGAGCCAACAGACAGUACAGGGAGGUGCCAACAGACUGUAUGGGGAGGAGUCAACAGACAGUACAGGGAGGAGCCAACAGACAGUACAAGGAGGAGCCAACAGACUGUAUGGGGAGGAGCCAACAGACAGUACAGGGAGGAGCCAACAGACUGUAUGGGGAGGUGCCAACAGACAGUACAGGGAGGAGCCAACAGACUGUAUGGGGAGGAGUCAACAGACAGUACAGGGAGGAGCCAACAGACUGUAUAGGGAGGAGCCAACAGACUGUAUGGGGAGGAGCCAA
Erpetoichthys calabaricus (reedfish) is the source of this 526-nucleotide long non-coding RNA. RefSeq lists it as uncharacterized. The transcript is spliced from 3 exons. Lineage: Eukaryota; Metazoa; Chordata; Cladistia; Polypteriformes; Polypteridae. The record is from RefSeq and is a predicted model, not a curated record.